Molecule: small nuclear RNA, 107 nt
Organism: Anolis carolinensis (green anole)
Lineage: Eukaryota; Metazoa; Chordata; Lepidosauria; Squamata; Anolidae
Gene: U2
Rfam family: U2 spliceosomal RNA
About the family: U2 is a small nuclear RNA (snRNA) component of the spliceosome (involved in pre-mRNA splicing). Complementary binding between U2 snRNA (in an area lying towards the 5' end but 3' to hairpin I) and the branchpoint sequence (BPS) of the intron results the bulging out of an unpaired adenosine, on the BPS, which initiates a nucleophilic attack at the intronic 5' splice site, thus starting the first of two transesterification reactions that mediate splicing.
Source: Ensembl
AUCGCUUCUCAGCCUUUUGGCUAAGCGUAGUAUCUGUUCUUUUCAGUUUAAUAUCUGAUAUGUUCUCUAUUUGACAUGUAGAAUAAUCACAGAAUCCUGAAACCUAC